This is a long non-coding RNA of Patella vulgata (common limpet), 769 nucleotides long. RefSeq lists it as uncharacterized. The transcript is spliced from 5 exons. The record is from RefSeq and is a predicted model, not a curated record. Lineage: Eukaryota; Metazoa; Mollusca; Gastropoda; Patellidae.
UCUGAGAAGAGCCUUUUAUAAUUCAGUUGAUAAGCUGUAUUGUUUAGCAUUUGCAGAUUUUCUGGAGUAUAGAAUUGCUGAAAAAGUUGAGAAGAAGCUACUGAAAUGUUCAGAAGAAAAUAAAGAUAACUUAUUUAAACUGGUUAUUUUCUGUACACAAGAAAAUGAACUUAAAAAACGAUUAGUUGGGGCUCUAGAGAAAUACAGACGACCACUGCCUGCUCUGUGUACUCCCACGUUAAUAGCAAAUUAUCUAACUGAACGACUGGUAUGUCAAGAUGAAACGUCAGCCUGUGCUGUAGACUUUUCAAGAUCAUCUGUGAGGGUCAUUCAAUCUCGAAGAAGUGGUGUUGGUAAAUCACUAUAUGUGAGGAGAUUAGUGGAGAAACUUAGAAAACGGCAUCCAACGAAAGAAGAUGUCAGUCUUACUAUACGCUUAUAUGAGAAAGACGUUGAUAUUUCACAUAUAGUAGACAUGCUGAUGACCCGUCAACAUUCACCAGGAAAAACAAAUCCUGUUAUAUUCCAUUUAGAUAUAUCAUCUGAGGUUUUAAAUGGUGUUGAUUUUCUACUGUAUAAUCUGUUAAUACUUGGUUGCAUCAAGGAUAAAGAUGGACAUGUGUGGACCAAAUCACCUUCCGAUUUAUAUGUAAUUGAAAAUAUACCUUCUAGAUACAAUCUAGCGGAUUCAAAGAUAAGGAAGUCAGUUCACCAGAUAUUUGGUAUAUUGCCUAAGGUUAACUGUUGGUCACCCCUCGAUACACUGGUC